Pelodiscus sinensis (Chinese soft-shelled turtle) is the source of this 2233-nucleotide long non-coding RNA. RefSeq lists it as uncharacterized. Lineage: Eukaryota; Metazoa; Chordata; Testudines; Trionychidae. The record is from RefSeq and is a predicted model, not a curated record.
GAAAUUAUCCACACUCUCUGCUUCAUGUGUUUCCCGUCUUUCAUAGUGAAUGUCUCAAUAUCAGGCAACUCUGGUUUCUGAGCUGGACAAACACUCAGCCAGGAAUUCCUGCAGCUUGAUGUGAGAUUCUGGCAGGUCACUGCUCUUUGGCCUGUCGGGGCCGCACUCAGGAGCCAGAACAUAUUGAUGACACAUUGAAACUUCUCUCCUCUGCCUAAAACUUCUCUCCUCUGCUCCAGCAUCACACAAUAGGAGGAGACGUCAUCCCAUAAAGUCCUAAAUUGAAAUUCUCCUGAAAUCCAGAAGAGUGGCUACUGCAUGAAUGAAGCAGAAAGAUUUUGAGAUUGUAAACACCACUUUGCAAAACUGCACUGCUCAGAACUUUCCAUCUGAUGACAUCAAAGCACCUCACUAAACCCAAGGAAUUGACUCCUGUGAGGCAGGCAAGUAUUGUUAUGCCUCUUUUUGGAUGCAGAAACUGAGGCACAGGAUAAUGUAUUCAAAGAUGCAUUGCUUCUACAAUGACAACAGAGAAAUCACAAUAUGUAAUCAGAACAGCAGUUCAUUGAAUUCAGUAUUCUUUCCUUGAUGGGACCAGCGCUCACUGCCUCAAAAGUGCAAGAAAUCCUGUAAUGGACAAUUUUGGGUUAACUUAUGCAUUAUCGUAAUGCUUUAUCCCGUCAGUUAGUAAUUUCUUUAUGCCUUGAAUCAUCAGUGUUUAGAUCCCUUCUAAAUUAAAACAGUUCUAUGUAAUAUAACUGGGGCUGUUUUCAUUGUCCACAUAAAUGUCCUUUUUGACAUUCUACUAAGCCCUCAGAUCUUUAUCAUGUGGCAGGAAGUUCCACAGGUUAAUUAUGCACCAUGUAAGAAAGUAUUUUCUUUUCUCAGUUAUAAAUAUGUCAUCUAUCAAUGUCAUUGAAUGCAUUACAUUGAAUGUGACCUUUCUUGGAUUAUGAAAGAGGUAGACAAAGGGUCUGAUUUAACUCCUUUAGAGCAUUCAUUAUUUUGUAUUAUACUGUUGCAUUCUCUUUGCAAACUGUAUCUAGGUAUUCCAUCGCUCCUCAUUUAAAAAUCUUCCCAUCUCUCUAAGGCCAGGUCUAUACUAGACCCAGAAGGUCAACUUAAGGUAUGCAACACCAGCUUUGUAAAUAACGUAGCUGGAGCUGACAUACCUUAUGCCAAGUUUGCCGCCGUCUCCACAGCAGGACGUCAGCGGGAGCAAACGUUCCCAUCAGCUUCCCUUACAACUUGCAAAUAGAGGCGUACUGGCACCGACUGGGGGCACCUUCAGCAUGCGAUUUAGCGGGUCUUUACUAGUCCCACUAAAUCGAAUGCCUGAUUGAUCUCCAGCACGGCAAGUGGAGAAGCGGCCUCAGUAUUGCCAGUCACCAUUGACUCUCUUUUCCCUAACCUCUUCUUUGAGCUCCAUUGAUUAGAAAGCAGUGCGGACGUCCAGGUGUGAGAGUGCCUGGGACUGACAUAAUGUCAAUGGAGAAGAUGUAUAGUGAAUGAGAGAACAGAUAACACUAAAACCAAACUCUUACAUGCCUUGGACCAUCCCUGGGCAAUGAGAGAUUGCCAGAAGUGCUCAGAGUUCAUGUAGCGCGCAGCAGCGUGUACACGUAGUUCAAAUUAUUCCAUCCAAUGUGCAUGAUGGUGCUUUUGUAAACAAUGAAUUUCAAGCAGUACAUAGCGUUGCCAGAAUUUACAUAUUUUCGUGCAUUUUUAAAUGACACUUUAAACAACUUUUUUAAGAUUACAAAGGAGACAGUCUGUCAAGAGUGAAAUAAGCGAAAAUGAAGGUGAACAUUCCAAUGGCAUUACUGUGGUGUAAUGCAACUUUGCACACAACAUGAGAAGACUUUACUUCUAGAGUCUAUGCCUAGAGGUGCAAGAAUAGCUGUGAACGGCUAAUAAGAACCAAUGCUAUUGGGGACAUCUGUUUUGGUUUUCAUUUUUCAGUGUUAUUAGUGCUUAUUGGUACAAGGUUCAGGAAUGUAGCCAAUCCCUUUGAAGUUGAAAGUGUAUUGUAAGGCUAGAGGCAUUGUGUGCCAUGUUGAUGACCCUGUAUGUAACCUUUCAAUUAAACAUCCAUAAUGCAUGGAAUAAAAAGGGCCUCUGUUGAAUGACUGCAAAACUGAACUAUAAUGCAAGUAAACUUAGUUUUCAGUGUAGGAAAGUUUUCUCUUUUCUGAUUUCAUGCAGCAGUUUCAGUACAGACACCAGAUUCUCC